UGUAAAGAGAUGCUAUCCUCUGGACUGAACACUUGAAACGGGAUGUUUCAACUUCUGCCUCAGAAUUCAGUUUUCUCUUGUGACAUCAUCUUGCCCUAAGGCAAUUUCUUUGGGCUCCAGUCUUUGCCUCCUGGCCUUGACCCUACAGCAAAGCACUCUCAAACUCCCUUAACGAGAAAGAGCUAGCGGGUUAUAGGAAAGUUCAUGCAGUCACUUCACUCACUGCCGCACACAAAUCCAUGAGGGCACCACAGGGAAGCAGGCGCUGAGACAAAGGACAGCGUCAGGAGCAAGCAGACUUCCCUCCUGCCAGCACCCCCCUUCCAGCCUCAGGGUCAGAGGUACUUGUGGGGCAGAUGGGUGUACGGGACGGGGGUGACCAGAGGACCAGGACGUGGGCCUGCUCGCCUAGAGAAGGGCUGCACAGAGGUAACCACGGUGGGAGAGAAAGGUCGAAUCUCAGCACAAAAAUUUUCAACAGAGAACUGCCCCGAGGAGGAAUGGACGCGAAGCGUCGUCUGGAGUCUAUGGAAAUUCGGAAAUUCGCUGCGCUGCCGGGCUGCCGGGCACACGGAGGGGCCGGCUGUCCUGCCCUGCCGUCACGCCCGUCCCCGUGCUUCCUCGGCCUGGGAAGCCUACAGAAUGGAGCCGCCCGAUCAGUGCGAGGCACGGGCCAGGGGAGACAGGGCCGCUCUGGCUUCCCAGCCCACCGGACCAGAUAUCCCAAGAGGGAAAGGUCGGUAAAGAAAAUACAAACGGUUAGUUGGUGCAAGUGA
Molecule: long non-coding RNA, 776 nt
Organism: Suricata suricatta (meerkat)
Lineage: Eukaryota; Metazoa; Chordata; Mammalia; Carnivora; Herpestidae
Exons: 2
Source: RefSeq, a predicted model, not a curated record